Molecule: ribosomal RNA, 253 nt
Filed under: uncultured bacterium
Lineage: Bacteria
Description: partial 16S ribosomal RNA
Rfam family: Bacterial small subunit ribosomal RNA
Source: RNAcentral
GACAGAGGGUGCAAACGUUGUUCGGAAUUACUGGGCGUAAAGCGCGUGUAGGCUGCUUCGCAAGUCGGAUGUGGAAGCCCUGGGCUCAACCCAGGAAGUGCAUUCGAAACUGCAGAGCUGGAGUCCUGGAGAGGAAGGCGGAAUUCUCGGUGUAGAGGUGAAAUUCGUAGAUAUCGAGAGGAACACCGGUGGCGAAGGCGGCCUUCUGGACAGUGACUGACGCUGAGACGCGAAAGCGUGGGGAGCAAACAGG